RNAcentral lists this ribosomal RNA (485 nucleotides) under uncultured bacterium. RNAcentral describes it as "partial 16S ribosomal RNA". It matches the Rfam family "Bacterial small subunit ribosomal RNA", at positions 30 to 507 of the family's 1533-position model. The record is from RNAcentral.
AUUGAACGCUGGCGGCAUGCCUUACACAUGCAAGUCGAACGGCAGCACGGGUGCUUGCACCUGGUGGCGAGUGGCGAACGGGUGAGUAAUACAUCGGAACAUGUCCUGUAGUGGGGGAUAGCCCGGCGAAAGCCGGAUUAAUACCGCAUACGAUCUACGGAUGAAAGCGGGGGACCUUCUGGCCUCGCGCUAUAGGGUUGGCCGAUGGCUGAUUAGCUAGUUGGUGGGGUAAAGGCCUACCAAGGCGACGAUCAGUAGCUGGUCUGAGAGGACGACCAGCCACACUGGGACUGAGACACGGCCCAGACUCCUACGGGAGGCAGCAGUGGGGAAUUUUGGACAAUGGGCGAAAGCCUGAUCCAGCAAUGCCGCGUGUGUGAAGAAGGCCUUCGGGUUGUAAAGCACUUUUGUCCGGAAAGAAAUCCUUGGCCCUAAUACGGUCGGGGAUGACGGUACCGGAAGAAUAAGCACCGGCUAACUACGUG